AACGAACGCUGGCGGCAUGCCUAACACAUGCAAGUCGAACGAGACCUUCGGGUCUAGUGGCGCACGGGUGCGUAACGCGUGGGAAUCUGCCCCUUGGUUCGGAAUAACAGCUAGAAAUGGCUGCUAAUACCGGAUGACGACGUAAGUCCAAAGAUUUAUCGCCGAGGGAUGAGCCCGCGUAGGAUUAGCUAGUUGGUGUGGUAAAGGCGCACCAAGGCGACGAUCCUUAGCUGGUCUGAGAGGAUGAUCAGCCACACUGGGACUGAGACACGGCCCAGACUCCUACGGGAGGCAGCAGUGGGGAAUAUUGGACAAUGGGCGCAAGCCUGAUCCAGCAAUGCCGCGUGAGUGAUGAAGGCCUUAGGGUUGUAAAGCUCUUUUACCCGGGAUGA
Molecule: ribosomal RNA, 392 nt
Filed under: uncultured bacterium
Lineage: Bacteria
Description: bacterial SSU rRNA
Rfam family: Bacterial small subunit ribosomal RNA
Source: RNAcentral